Molecule: long non-coding RNA, 400 nt
Filed under: Zonotrichia albicollis (white-throated sparrow)
Lineage: Eukaryota; Metazoa; Chordata; Aves; Passeriformes; Passerellidae
Description: lncRNA (ENSZALG00000004167.1)
Source: RNAcentral
UUCCAAUGAUGCUUUACUUCUUCUUGACUUCCUAAUUUACAGAAAACAAGAAACAUUUCCAUGAAGAUGGCUGAGAGUAUAGCUGCCAAACAGGAAGGAAGGACAGGCAAAUGCAGCAAGAGCAGAAAUCAGCCUGCAAGGAAAUGGCAAGUUAGUAAAAUUGUGAUGACCAUACUCACAGGAGAAGAACUUUGCUGCUUGAGGAAAUACAUUGUUCACCGACAGUGCAAGAAAUAGUGGUCUUGAAAUGAAGCAAGGCAGAAAUAUGAAAGAAAAACCCCUGUAUUUGUUGACAAUGGAAGCUUUGAGUGCCAAGAAUAUUAGCAGAAAAGUAAGUAAACCAAAGUCAUAGAUCUUUAAUCUUCCAGACCUAAGACUUUGAUCAAAGAUCAUUUUCCUA